Molecule: ribosomal RNA, 441 nt
Filed under: uncultured bacterium
Lineage: Bacteria
Description: partial 16S ribosomal RNA
Rfam family: Bacterial small subunit ribosomal RNA
Source: RNAcentral
CCUACGGGGCGCAGCAGUAGGGAAUAUUGCUCAAUGGGGGAAACCCUGAAGCAGCAACGCCGCGUGGAGGAUGAAGGUUUUCGGAUUGUAAACUUCUGUUCUUAGUGAAGAAUAAUGACGGUAGCUAAGGAGCAAGCCACGGCUAAAUACGUACCAGCAGCCGCGGUAAUACGUAGGUGGCAAGCGUUGUCCGGAAUUACUGGGUGUAAAGGGAGCGCAGGCGGGAAGGCAAGUCAGCUGUGAAAACUACGGGCUUAACUUGUAGACUGCAGUUGAAACUGGUUUUCUUGAGUGAAGUAGAGGUUGGCGGAAUUCCGAGUGUAGCGGUGAAAUGCGUAGAUAUUCGGAGGAACACCGGUGGCGAAGGCGGCCAACUGGGCUUUAACGGACGCUGAGGCUCGAAAGUGUGGGGAGCAAACAGGAUUAGAUACCCUGGUAGUC